GGAGGGUGGCAACGUUACUCGGAUUCAUUGGGUGUAAAGGGCAAGUAGGCGGUCUGAUAAGUGAGGGGUGAAAUCCUGCGACUCAAUCGCAGAAUUGCCUUUCAAACUAUCAGACUUGAGGCAGGAAGGGAAAAAUGGAAUUCUCGGUGUAAGGGUGAAAUCUGUAGAUAUCGAGAAGAACACCAGCGGCGAAGGCGAUUUUCUGGUCCUGUCCUGACGCUGAAUUGCGAAAGCUAGGGGAGCAAACAGAAUUAGAUACUCUGGUAGUCCUAGCCGUAAACGAUGAGCACUAGGUGUUGSUUCGGGGUCAGUGCCGCMKAACGCAUUAAGUGCUCCACCUGGGGACUAC
This 349-nucleotide ribosomal RNA is filed under the name uncultured bacterium. Its description in RNAcentral is "bacterial SSU rRNA". It matches the Rfam family "Bacterial small subunit ribosomal RNA", at positions 527 to 883 of the family's 1533-position model. The record is from RNAcentral.